CGCACUAGCGUCUCUUUGCUCUCUUUGACGUUCGUUGUGCUGAAGUAGGUUAGUAGAGUAAACAUGUCUCCAGAAAGUUUUCUUUUAAUUUAAAAUAAAGUUACAUUGUUUAAACGCUUAUAUAGUUGUUAGUACUGUCUGUAAUUUAAAUAUUACUUAUUCUUGAAUGAGCUUACAGUUAGAAAACUGAUUUUGUGCAUGGAGCUGGCUUUCAAAAUGGCCGCCACCUCGUGGCGUCCUGUUUAUUAUUACAGCUUCUCUGUAAUCUCUGUGAAGCGGUUUUUUUCUUUGUUGUUUUUUUUUAGUAAAACUCAUUCUGUUUGGCUUUUUAGCUUUGCGGAUAUGGGCCUCAGCUGCAGACGUGGUGAAAAUGGCAUUACAGAAUGGUCUGAAGAUGGCACCUAGCUGUUUUUGUUCUCUUCUGCAUUUAAUGUCGAACAUCCACUAAUCAACAUGGUUCCUGUGGUCAUGUGAAAGGAGAUGCAAUUCCUUGCUGAGAUUGGUGUCUAGAAGUUGAGUUUUCACCAGGAUGGAGGUUUUUGUACCCCAAGUGUGAAAGAUUGCUUCAGAUUGUGUUGCUGUGCCAGUGGAGCCAGUGAUGUGCUGUACCUUCAACAUUAUUCAUGAUGCUUUUAAAAAUGCUCCCACGUUGGUGUGGGUUGAUGUUGCAACUGAUCUAAAUAAAGCUCUGAAAUGUGAAUGAAGACUGCCUGAUUUUUAGUGUACUUAUGAAUGUUGAUCUUUUGGGUUUCUUAGACAUUGUACUUUUUUUUUCUUUUCUUUUUUUUAAAUCAAGGAAACUCCAGAAUAUUCACUGGGAUCUUGCGAUUUUUCAAAAUUAAUACAGAUGUUCUGCAGAUUUUGGGUGUUGAGCUUGAGUACAGCUCAAAGGUCUCAUUUACCAACAAUCACUGUGAAAGACUGUGCAAAACAACUUCAUGCAGUUGCAAUUUCACCAAUUCAAGUAGCUUUCUGCAAAAAAGCACAAAACUGCAAAUUGUGUUGUAAAUGUUGGACGGGGGAAAAAAGCUGCAGGGAUUUUGGCUGCAUGAUUCACAAAUAAAAACUCGUUGAAAUCCUGUACGGACCAAUGUACAGCACCUUGUAAUGAGUGUUGCUGGCAUGUUUAGCACUGCCUGAUAUUACACAUACUUGCCUUUAUUUUGUUUGUCAUGUGUCUGACUUCCUGUUUUACCUGGUUUUUAGACCCCUGUCCCCACAGUUUCCUCAUCUUCUGAUCAUAUGUUAAUGACUGCAAACAUAAACCUCUGGGGGGGGGGGGGGGGGUCCAUAAAGGUGUGUCUUUUCUUCUGGUGUGAUUUGAACCCAAACCUGGUUCUGACCUUUUUGUUAGGCUAAUAAAAUUGUUGGAGCAAAUCCCCCCUCAAAUACAGCUAGUCAAAUACAUACUUGAUCCAGGAAGGUCUGUAAAUCAUGUUGUGGAAAAGAAGCAUCUCAACCAAAAAGGUGACUCAUGUUUAGUGCAUGUUUGAUUGAGCCUGCUUGUACAAGCUUUAUAUGCUAUUUGAGUUAGACUUGAUUCAAGGUGCUUGUUUUACAAAAUGAAGACUUUAGCUUCACCAAAUUUGAAGAAAUCAUACCUUCCAGCUCAUAUGUUCCUACCAUCAGCAUUUAAAACAGCUUGGGUUCAACUUAUUAUCCUGGGUUUAUUUCUGUAAGGUCAUUUCAGGUUGCAUUUUGCUUUAGAAAGAAAUGUUUCCUAGCAGCCUGUGUGACAGAAAUGUGGGUUUCUACCAUCUUGGAGUAAAAUCUAAAAACUAGACACCACCAUAACACUACAGCUGAGGGUAAGACUUGUAUUAUGAAGAAGGGAAAAAAAGGAGUGUUGAGAUAUCUAACGUUGUUGUCUUUUACAUCCUGUACAGCCAAUAAAUUUGUAUUUAUUGCAGGUAUUUACAAUGUUUUAAAAUGUCACAAUAUCUUUCCGCGGUGGAAAUUAAGAUCACUUUAGUUCCCUAAAAAAAAAAGAAGCACUCGGGUUAGUGAACUUCCUCAAACGUCCGGCAACGUCAAUGUUGAGAGUGACGUAAUGAAGUGAACUCUGAUUCUUUUCAAUGAAUCGGAUCGUUUGGUUCAUCUCACCAACAAGAGCCGAUUCAUUCGGCUCCCAAAUGGCUCGUUGCCAUUUCCCCCAAACUAAACAAGUCAGAGUUUGCGAUAUAUUAACCAGUGAUUAUUCCUCUGUGUCUGAGUAUGACUGAAUUCGUUCCAUGUAUUCUUACUCUACCUUCUGAUCAAUAAAAAC
This is a long non-coding RNA of Ictalurus punctatus (channel catfish), 2266 nucleotides long. NCBI's taxonomy places the organism in Eukaryota, Metazoa, Chordata, Actinopteri, Siluriformes, Ictaluridae. The record is from Ensembl.